UUUAUUGGAGAGUUUGAUCCUGGCUCAGGAUGAACGCUGGCGGCGUGCCUAAUACAUGCAAGUCGAGCGAAUGGAUUGAGAGCUUGCUCUCAAGAAGUUAGCGGCGGACGGGUGAGUAACACGUGGGUAACCUGCCCAUAAGACUGGGAUAACUCCGGGAAA
RNAcentral lists this ribosomal RNA (162 nucleotides) under Bacillus cereus. RNAcentral describes it as "partial 16S ribosomal RNA". It matches the Rfam family "Bacterial small subunit ribosomal RNA", at positions 1 to 156 of the family's 1533-position model. Lineage: Bacteria; Bacillati; Bacillota; Bacilli; Caryophanales; Bacillaceae. RNAcentral also lists the same sequence under 1 other name. The record is from RNAcentral.